GCCUACGGGGGGCAGCAGUAGGGAAUCUUCCACAAUGGACGAAAGUCUGAUGGAGCAACGCCGCGUGAGUGAAGAAGGGUUUCGGCUCGUAAAGCUCUGUUGGUAGUGAAGAAAGAUAGAGGUAGUAACUGGCCUUUAUUUGACGGUAAUUACUUAGAAAGUCACGGCUAACUACGUGCCAGCAGCCGCGGUAAUACGUAGGUGGCGAGCGUUGUCCGGAUUUAUUGGGCGUAAAGCGAGUGCAGGCGGUGCAAUAAAGCUGGU
This 264-nucleotide ribosomal RNA is filed under the name uncultured bacterium. Its description in RNAcentral is "partial 16S ribosomal RNA". It matches the Rfam family "Bacterial small subunit ribosomal RNA", at positions 337 to 593 of the family's 1533-position model. The record is from RNAcentral.